GACGAACGCUGGCGGCGCGCCUAACACAUGCAAGUCGAACGGAGUCAAGAGGAGCUUGCUUUUCUUGACUUAGUGGCGAACGGGUGAGUAACGCGUGAGUAACCUGCCCUGGAGUGGGGGACAACAGUUGGAAACGACUGCUAAUACCGCAUAAGCCCACGGAUCUGCAUGGAUCUGCGGGAAAAGGAUUUAUUCGCUCUAGGAUGGACUCGCGUCCAAUUAGCUAGUUGGUGAGGUAACGGCCCACCAAGGCGACGAUUGGUAGCCGGACUGAGAGGUUGAACGGCCACAUUGGGACUGAGACACGGCCCAGACUCCUACGGGAGGAAGCAGUGGGGGAUAUUGCACAAUGGGGGAGACCCUGAUGCAGCGACGCCGCGUGGAGGAAGAAGGUUUUCGGAUUGUAAACUCCUGUCGUUAGGGACGAUAAUGACGGUACCUAACAAGAAAGCACCAGCUAACUACGUG
RNAcentral lists this ribosomal RNA (468 nucleotides) under uncultured bacterium. RNAcentral's name for it is "partial 16S ribosomal RNA". It matches the Rfam family "Bacterial small subunit ribosomal RNA", at positions 28 to 507 of the family's 1533-position model. The record is from RNAcentral.